This is a non-coding RNA of Equus caballus (horse), 8440 nucleotides long. The record is from RefSeq and is a predicted model, not a curated record. NCBI's taxonomy places the organism in Eukaryota, Metazoa, Chordata, Mammalia, Perissodactyla, Equidae.
AAAGUCCCCAACCCCUAUUAAUGAAACAAACAAACUGCCCUUGGAUCUAACGAGCUGACACCCCCAAAACCAACCCUAGGGCUGGGGGUAGGAGGUGUCCACUGGCUUAACUAAGGGGACAGUUCCCAGGGCUGCCAGCUGCACAAGGGGAGCCUGGGCAAAACUAGGCUCCUAUCACCACAAAAGGGGGUGAACGCUGGGUAACAGACACUAGUGUCAACCACACACUGAGGUGCCGGCAUGUUUGCUGAGGGAAGACGUGACAAUCUCUCCUACCUCGAUCUUUUCUUUUAUGGAGACGUAUGCACAGCUUGAUAACUCCAAGGAGAAAAAUGCUCUACUCAUGCAAAUUCAUUCCAUUUGUAUUUGCAUUUUCCAUCACUCAUUUGGGUACAGGAUAUUUUCAGCAGACUCCCAGCACCCAAAGCAAAUUAUAUUUAUGGGGCAUCCUUGUGCACUCAGAGAAAGGGGCCAUGCCACGGAGCGGAGGGGUGCAAGCUGGUUUGGGUGUCAUCAUUUUAAGAGCAUUUUUUUUUUUAAAGAUUGGCACCUGAGCUAACAUCUGUUGCUAAUCUUCUUUUCUUCUUCUUCUCCCCAAAGCCCCCCUAGUAUAUAGUUGUAUGUUCUAGUUGUGAGUGCCUCUGGUUGUGUGGGUGUUGUCUUGAUUCCCUCUGCAAACACUCUUCAGCCUGGUGGAUGGAUCUUCCUUUAGAGGUGAAGCAGUUUCCAAUUUCUCCUUUCUUGGGCUCGAUAAUCAAGUCGAGGCAGGAUAACAGAAUGUGUAGAACAUGGAGAAGGAAGACACAAGGGCAAAAACCCCAGAAGGUAAGGGGAUCAGUGAAGACAGAAUUCUGAGCCUGACAUCUUAGAAAUCAGAUAUGCUAGUUUGCAAACCUAAAUGCCCUAAACUGUCUUCUGGGAGCGGGGGAACUGCAGACUUUGUCAUCUUUUGCUCUGAUCGCCCCACACCCAGCAGGCAGACUCUGUUCUUUAAUUCUGGUCUUAUAGGACACACCCCUGACUGCAAGCCCGGCUAUGAAUCUGUAGCUUUUUCAAGUACACAGUGCCAGGUCUCUUGCACGUGUGUAACGCAGUACUGUGAUUUUACUUUUUAGUAUGGAAAAUUUUAAACACAUAUAAAAGUAGAACAGAAUCAUAAACCUCCAUUUUGCCAUCACCCAGCUUCAGCGACCAUCAACUCAUGAAGACAGUGUGUAAGUGUUGUCACACUAAUGUCUGUGUCACUUAAAAGUCUUGUUAAAAAUGCAAAUUCAUGGACCCCAUCUCAGACCAAGUAUAUUACAAUUUGGGGGGUAAAGUCCAAGAAUCUGCACUUUUCCCAAAAUUCCCCCAAAGGAUUAUCAUGGACAGUGAAGUGUGGGAUCGACUGCUAGGGGAGAGCCCUGGGAGUGGGUCCCCACUCUGCCAUUUACCAGCUGGGCAACUUGAACACAUUUCUUGUACUUUCUCAGCCCAUGUCUCCAUCCGGAUACAGAUAUUACAAGGCUACUGAGGGACAGACAAGACAGCAUAAGAGAAGUGCCCAACACACAGCAAAUGCUCAUGAAACACCCAAUGUUCUCAUUGACCUGCUUCACUUAGGUUUGGUUUCCAAGGCCUAAGGAAAAUGUACCUCAAGAUGGACAUGUUAUAAGGGCUUCCAGAGGGAGCCCUGCCAUUUUGUGGUGUUAGGUAGAGCUGUGUGCAUUUCCACUUAGGGCCAGUGACCAGCAGAAAAACAAACAACAUACAAGCCAGGGAGUUCACAUCUUGCUAUUAGCCCUCAGGGGUCAGAUACGGCUCUAAACGUGAGGUUCCCUCAUCCCUUUUUAAGAACACGCAGAGACCAGAGGAGGAUGAGUGUGGAAGCUCUCACUGGCAGACAUGAAGGGAGCUUGCCAAGGGAAUGGAUAGAGACUUUCCUCUGGUGCGUGUCACCCUGGGCAGUCAUUAAAGGGGCAGGGCUGGGCAGAGCAAGCCCACCUGUCCAGAUGGGAACUGAAUCCCCUAGUCCUGGUCUCACCAGCUCAGGGCGCGAACGCCAGAGCCCAGCAGUCACAAACCUUGUUCCUCAGCACGGAGCUCAACCCAGCCUUGCACAGAAUUGCUGCAUAAUAACUGCUUACAAAGGCAGAUGGGGGACAUGUUUCCCCAUCACGUCGAUGUGGAAACUGGGGCUUAGACAUAAUCAAGCUUAUAAUGGGCCUCGGAAGAAAUUCAUUUCGCAAAGCAGAGGGAUUAAUGAAAUUCUACCAGUUAGUGGUCUGAAUUUCUCUAAGGAAAAGUUUCUAAAACCCAGAGCAGAAAACAUGUAGGCCUGAGGCAAGCAGCUGACUAAGAGAUCGGAACAUCUCCGGGGCAGAGGAGGACACACUGACCUGGGGGAUGGGGCAGUUGGCCACCUUUAGCUUCUAGAACCAUUUAGGGAAAUGGGUGUUGACAGUAAGCAAGAGCAGCAGCGACUUGGCCCACAAGAAUGUGGGGAAACAGCAGAAGGAAGGAGGCUGCAGGUCGCUAGGAGACCUGGACUGACCACAGAGGUCCUGAGCAGACCCCACACCUGCUGCAGAGAAGCAGGUGCACAGCAGAACCCCUGUUUCCAGACACCGGGCCUGUCUGAAGGUGCUCGGGCUACCAACAAAAUACCACGGACGGGGGCGCUUAAACUACAGAAAUUUAUCUUCCCACAGUUCUCGAGGGUGGAAGUCCAAGAUCAAGUUCCCAGUGUGGUCAAGUUCUGGUGAGCUCUCUCCUCCUGGCUUACAGAUGGCUGCCUUCUCCCUCUGUCUUCAUAUGGUGGAGAGAGAAAUCUCGUCUCCUCCUCUUUUUAUAAGGCCACCAAUCCUACUGGAUUAGGUCCCCACCCUUAUGACCUCAUUUAACCUUAAUUACCUCCUAAAAGCUCUAUCUCCAAACACAGUCCCAUGGAGGGUUGGGGCUUUAACGUAAGAAUUUGGGGCGAGUGGAGGGACACAGUUCGGUCCACAGCAGCAGCAGAGGUCCCUUGGUGUGCCCAUAGCCUGGCAGUGGGUGGCAGCCUCUGUGUCCAGCGCUGUGUGGGAGUCCACUGUCCCUGCUCUGGAAGUGACUUUGGGCACUUCUCGGGAAUACCCAGCCUGGUUCUUUGCACCCUGGGGAUUCUGUGAGCUACUUGAUACAUUUUUUUUCUUUCUAUUCAAACUAGCUAAAACUAAUUUCUGGGCCUGUGGCUAAGACUCUAACUGAUGCCAGGCCGUGGAUGCCUCCCCUUUCCACGGAGUCCAAAGCUGACUCCUCUGAAUUUCCUGAUGGAUUCUCUAGGUCUCGCUGGCCACAUCUGAAAGCAGGCCUGGCCCGCCUCGCCGUGCUAUUUGAGAGCUCGCAUCCUCUCUCUUUUCAGCAGCGGCCUUUUGGGUCGGAAAGGGCUGCCCGUCUCACUGUCUUCCGGAGCUCCGAGCCUGCCGUGUGACUGCGUGGUUUCUCAUCCACAGCGGAUUUCUACUCUCUCUGUGCUCACUUAUCGAUCCCUUGACCAAUAUUCAUUAAGGCCCUAUUAAGCGAGCUCAGGGAAAUGGAAGCAUUGAAGGAGAAACAUGAAAUGUCUCUCCCUCCCACAGGUUGCUCAGAGACAAGACAUACCUUAUGAAAACUAAGCAACAGAUGUCGUGUUAAGUGCCAGACAGCAAAGUCCCACAGCAUGAGGAGACCUCCGCAGCCCCCUGGCCCAUGGCGGGGGGUCGCUGCAUUCACCUGCUGUGCUCACUCCUGGCGCAAUUGCUUGAACAAGUUACCGCCUUGGGCAGGAGGGAUGUAAGGACUAUGGGGCUCACGAAAAUGCACUGCUCAGACCUCCUGCAGCGGCGAGCGUGCACCGGCCUGCACCACAGCCGCCCCCACUCGCUCCCUCUUCACACAGAGGCCAUGCCCCUCCAGCCCCGGGUUGCUCCCGCCCACAACUGAGUGCGUGGGCGCGUGUGGAGGCCUAUUCCUGCAGGACAUGGCACCUGAAGGAGCAAGGCCCCAUUUACCCGGUGGGAACAUUCUCAGAACCAUGCUGCCAUCUGAGGCUCUCCCCAGCCACUCUGCCCCCAGGUGUCAGGCCUGCAUCCAGCCCGGAGGCGCCCCCACCCCCGCCUGCUCCUGCUCCCUCUGCCAACAGGACGCAGGCUCAUUCCCAACACUAUCACUCCUGUCUUGCUGAGCAGAACCCACUUGGGCCUGGGGCCCUGUUUGUCCUCACCAAGGAACUGGACAGAGGCCUGCCUCAGUCUCUGCACUUCACUGGCUCCCUUGCCCACCUUGCCUGUGAGACAGCUGGCACGUCCUGGGGGGAACUACUGGAGAGGUCAUACCUUCAGUCUGUGCCUUACCCUGGACUCCUCCCUGCUGUCUGGACUGGCUCUGCCUGGGGCACUUAGGGGAUAGUCCCAGCCCAGCCCCGCUCCGCCCAAGCUCUGGCCCUAGGUCAGCCGGCUUUGCUGACAACCUGGGAGUUGAGGCAGGCCUGGCCACUGACCCUGGCCCUGGGUGAGCGCUGCUGAGGCGGGGCGCCUCCAUUCCAGGGUGGGGGGUGUUCUUUCUUCUUCCUCUUCUCCCAGGACAUGGACACAGAAACUGCUCUAGCUGCUGGCAGCCACCUGUGACCACCAGGAAAGGUAGCAGAAGACGAAACGGACAUUCAGAGAAAGAACACAGCCCCGCCCUGGACUUCCUGUCCCGAGACAAAUAUUAUUAUUGUUCAAGCCAGUUCGAGUUAGACUUUCUGUUGCUCGCAGAUCCCAAGCACCCUACAGAGGAGAUGCUAUCUAAUAUAACAACAUCGUGGCCUGUCAGGGUGAGCCGAGGCCACUAGCUGAGGAGUCUGGUCUGCAGGCAACUGAAGCUUUGUGUGUGUGACACAAACUGUGUUCUUACUGCUAUUUGUGGAAAACAAUUUUCUUAAAAUAGAUAGAACAGACCUUGACACUCUGAAGACUAGCACUCAGAGUCGUCUGUUUUGAAAACAAGGCACCGUCAAGCUCUAGAAGAUGCACACUGGUAAGAAGGGGCCGGGAGUCCAAGUCCAGAGGGGGACAGAGGGGGAACAGACAUGGGCAGAGGGAGACAGAGGGGGACAGAGACGGGCACAGGAGGGCAGAGGGGGACAAGGGGAUAGAGUUGGGCAGAGGGGGACAGAGGGGGAAAGAGGGGGAUAAAAGGGGAUAGAGAUAGGCAGAAGGGGACAGAGCUAGUCUCCAACCCUGUCUUUCCUGAGGCAACCUGACGUGGUGAGGCAGGGGCUUGUGGACCCAGGGCUCAUCCCCCGGGCCACCUCUGAUUCCCAGGCAGCUGUGGUGGACACUCCCCCAUGCGGACAGGGCCUUCCCUGAAGCCACAGGUGUCCAUUCAGCCCCCAGCUCAGCCUGGCCCUGAAGCACAGCGGCAUUAACACCCUGGGGUGAUCCUCUACCAGCCUGGACCUACCCCAUAACCACAGUAAUGCACCCAUGGGGCCCCUCCCUCUUCCCACACCCUCCCUGCUAGCCAGGGUCACCUUCCAAAUAAUUAAAAGCACCCCCGCCCCUCAGCCCUGAGUCUCGGUUUCUGGCUCUGUUUCCCAGAGUAAGAGAAGUGGUAUCUGGUUUUUACUGUCCAAGCACAGGAUCCAUUCAUUCAGGAGACACAACUGGAAACAUACCACAGUGGACACGUGAAUUGUGUGGAGAACAGACAGCUCCACGAGCACCAGGAUGACUCCCAGGUCCUUGCAACUGUUCAGGCCCGGGGCAGCAGCCGAGGGAGGUGCAUGUCCCUGUGUGCCCACAGGACGGGCCCUUGCCAGUCCCUUGACUCCUCAGCUCAGCCCAGUCCCAGUGCCCUUCCCGAGCCUGCGCUUCCCCCUUUCUCUCCUUCCUCAGCAUCGCCCACCGUGGACAUAGGCGCCAGAGCCCUGUGCUGCUCACAUCCCAUCAGUCCCGCGUCCUGCAGAGCCCGCAUCUGUCUGAUGGGGCCCUCUCCCCUCUCCAUGCUCGGAAAUGCCCCCUUCCUAUUUCCGCCACUGUCUCAUCCAUCUUUCUGGAACUGCUUUCCAUUUAGGACUGAGGCUCAAAACCCACGACAGGACCGGGACCAGAGGCCAGCAGAAUGAUGCAGUAGCCGGCUGGCCCUAUGGCUGAGUGACUUCAGACCUGGCUCCCGUGAGCACUCCCUCUCGUCCAGGACCCAGAGUAACUGCCAGCUCUCGCAGGAGUGGUGCCACCACUGUGCUGCAUGCUCCAGGUCCCCUUGGCUGCUGGACCUGUGACAGCAGGGGCACGCACUUGGAACCAUAUGGGGACAUCAAGAAUGUUCUGCCCUAGGGGCUGGGGAGCAGCAAGGUGGGCCUCUCUAAGAUCUGAGCAUAAAUUCAGUUUGUCUGAAAGGGACGUAUGUUUUGCCUUUGCGUAUUCACAACCACAGGCCAGUGCCCCGUCAUGCAUUUACAGACUACUGAGUUUGUUUUCAAAUUGCUUUCGUGGAUGUUGUCUGUCCUGACCAUUCCACUGUGACUCAUGUACCCCUGGUCCCCAUGGCGACCCUGUGCAAACACCACGCUCUAGCCCAGACCUAGAAUUCUUCCCCCUCAUCUGCCGAUCCAAGCUCUGCUGCCCUUUCAAGGCCCAGCUCAAGGGCCACCUCCUCCUUGCAACCUUCCUUGACUACUCCUUCCCACCUGUCACCCUCGCAGAAUUCCUCAAGCACUGGCUGCAGCCCUUGGUGAGAGAGCUGGCUGCUGUUUCCUGCAUGUUAAUAUUACCUACGUUGCAAAAUCCUGCUGGAACAGCUCCUACAGAGUUACUGAAGUUUCUUGAACCCAAGCUGGCGGACAAAUGACUUGGAAUCCACAGCAGGACGCAUUUCCUGGAACGGAAGGAGCCCUGGGUUCUUUCAUUUAUUCAUUCAAGCAAGGAUCUCAGGGCUGAAGACAUGGAGACCAAAGGGUCUUGCAGGCUAGUGGCGGAGACAGACAAGGACACUGGUGACAAGGACUCCUGACACAAAGGACUGAGAACAGCUCCAUUAAUAGAGGACGGGUUCAGUGAUUCAUAGACUGGCUCUACAACGGAGUACUAUACAACCACGAAGAAGAGCAAGGCAUCUUCUCCCACACUACCAGGAAAUGACUGCCAGCAGAAACUGCUAAGCGGUUAAAAAGCAAGUUGUAGAACAGUUCUCUGUUCUGGAUGUUCUGGCACCCGGGGCCUCGCUGACUGGGAGAGGCCGCCCCUCCGAGGGGCAGCCAGUCCUUAGAGAGGGCGCGCCUUUCAUGCAAACAAGCCAAUCCAGAGCCCAGACGGAACCACCUCCUCUAUCUGGCUGUUCCACUCCAGGAGCACUACUCCUCUGUCCUAAUCAGGCCAGACACCUGCUGUGCCAGAAUCAUUUGUCCAGUGUCAAGGGUCUCUGCUCAGAACCGGGGCUCCCCAGAGGAAAGCAGGCCCCAAACCACCCUUCUCACACGCGGCCUCAUCUCUCACAGCCCAAGAGUGCUCCGGGAACGAGCACCACUUCACCGACUGUCUCAUCCCUCAGGCCUAUUGCUAGAACGUUCCUUAUCUCUUCUGCUGGGAGCAGGAAGGGAAGGAGCAUCCAUAGCGACAGCCCCAGCUAGCAGUGUCUCCUUCAAUCGCCACCUCAACCCUGGAGGCGCCAGUGCACAGAUGUGAAACCGAGGUCCGGAGCGGGUGAGUGAGCUGUCCGAGGAAAUGCACACCCUGAGCCGCUCUGACUCCGGGGUGACCUGCUGAGCGAUCCAGGGAGCCCUCAGUGAGAGCAUGAAUCCGGGAGCGCUUAACUAAGGUUUUCCCAGGAAGCCCUCGUCUGGGGCCAUUCCUUCCACCUGUUGUCUACCAGGGGCCCUGGUCCAGGGGCCGCCAAGCAGUGUCUGGUGACGGCUACGUGGAGGAAAGCAGAGCAGAGGAAUGACGAGCCCUCCCUGCACAGCCUCGUGUGGGCCAGGCUGGAGGCGGCGCAGCCGCAAUCGGUUUCCAGCUGGGAGGAGCAUUCCUAAAGUUCGUGAUUCUCAAGGAGCACCAUAAACGCUCUUCUCUAAUCCCCAACGCCUCCCCCACUGAUGGUUACAGAGUCUGAAAGGCCCCCAUACAGCCCCUCCUGCACCUCUAGGAGUCUCCUGUGAGCACAAACUCAGCAGGGAGAAUGGGGGCCAGGGCUGGGAGGUCAGUGGGCACCACGACUGGGAGAGGCAGGGCAGGGGCAUGGGCUUGAGUCCCAGGGCUGCCCUCACUGUGCUGGGGCCAUGGCUAAGACCCCCACCCUGGAGCCUGUCCAUGCUCUUCUCAAGACCCCCAGGGGCUUCAUCUCAUGCAGGUACAUUCCCAAGUCCUCCCCAUGCACACAGGACGAUGAAUAAACUGCUGUGCCCGCCCUCCCCACUGCGUCUCCAACCACGCAUUUCGCUCUGUGUCCUGCUGUCCAGCUACAC